This 301-nucleotide ribosomal RNA is filed under the name uncultured bacterium. RNAcentral's name for it is "partial 16S ribosomal RNA". It matches the Rfam family "Bacterial small subunit ribosomal RNA", at positions 509 to 808 of the family's 1533-position model. The record is from RNAcentral.
CAGUCGCCACGGUAAUACGUAGGUCCCGAGCGUUGUCCGGAUUUAUUGGGCGUAAAGGGAGCGCAGGCGGUUUAGUAAGUCUGAAGUUAAAGGCAUUGGCUCAACCAAUGUAUGCUUUGGAAACUGUUAGACUUGAGUGCAAGAGGGGAGAGUGGAAUUCCAUGUGUAGCGGUGAAAUGCGUAGAUAUAUGGAGGAACACCGGUGGCGAAAGCGGCUCUCUGGCUUGUAACUGACGCUGAGGCUCGAAAGCGUGGGGAGCAAACAGGAUUAGAUACCCGAGUAGUCCCUGUCUCUUAUACA